Molecule: ribosomal RNA, 497 nt
Filed under: uncultured bacterium
Lineage: Bacteria
Description: partial 16S ribosomal RNA
Rfam family: Bacterial small subunit ribosomal RNA
Source: RNAcentral
GAUGAACGCUGGCGGCGUGCCUAAUACAUGCAAGUCGAGCGAACAGAUGAGGAGCUUGCUCCUCUGACGUUAGCGGCGGACGGGUGAGUAACACGUGGAUAACCUACCUAUAAGACUGGGAUAACUUCGGGAAACCGGAGCUAAUACCGGAUAAUAUAUUGAACCGCAUGGUUCAAUAGUGAAAGACGGUUUUGCUGUCACUUAUAGAUGGAUCCGCGCCGCAUUAGCUAGUUGGUAAGGUAACGGCUUACCAAGGCAACGAUGCGUAGCCGACCUGAGAGGGUGAGCGGCCACACUGGAACUGAGACACGGUCCAGACUCCUACGGGCAGCAGCAGUAGGGAAUCUUCCGCAAUGGGCGAAAACCUGACGGAGCAACGCCGCGUGAGUGAUGAAGGUCUUCUGAUCGUAAAACUCUGUUAUUAGGGAAGAACAAAUGUGUAAGUAACUAUGCACGUCUUGACGGUACCUAAUCAGAAAGCCACGGCUAACUACGUG